RNAcentral lists this ribosomal RNA (492 nucleotides) under uncultured bacterium. RNAcentral's name for it is "partial 16S ribosomal RNA". It matches the Rfam family "Bacterial small subunit ribosomal RNA", at positions 29 to 507 of the family's 1533-position model. The record is from RNAcentral.
AGUGAACGCUGGCGGUAGGCCUAACACAUGCAAGUCGAACGGCAGCACAGUAGGAGCUUGCUCUUACGGGUGGCGAGUGGCGGACGGGUGAGGAAUACAUCGGAAUCUACUUUUUCGUGGGGGAUAACGUAGGGAAACUUACGCUAAUACCGCAUACGACCUACGGGUGAAAGCAGGGGAUCUUCGGACCUUGCGCGAUUGAAUGAGCCGAUGUCGGAUUAGCUAGUUGGCGGGGUAAAGGCCCACCAAGGCGACGAUCCGUAGCUGGUCUGAGAGGAUGAUCAGCCACACUGGAACUGAGACACGGUCCAGACUCCGACGGGAGGCAGCAGUGGGGAAUAUUGGACAAUGGGCGCAAGCCUGAUCCAGCCAUACCGCGUGGGUGAAGAAGGCCUUCGGGUUGUAAAGCCCUUUUGUUGGGAAAGAAAAGCAGCAGGUUAAUACCCCGCUGUUCUGACGGUACCCAAAGAAGAAGCACCGGCUAACUUCGUG